AGUGAACGCUGGCGGUAGGCCUAACACGUGCAAGUCGAACGGCAGCACAGUAAGAGCUUGCCCUUACGGGUGGCGAGUGGCGGACGGGUGAGGAAUACAUCGGAAUCUACUUUUUCGUGGGGGAUAACGUAGGGAGACUUACGCUAAUACCGCAUACGACCUACGGGUGAAAGCAGGGGAUCUUCGGACCUUGCGCGAUUGAAUGAGCCGAUGUCGGAUUAGCUAGUUGGCGGGGUAAAGGCCCACCAAGGCGACGAUCCGUAGCUGGUCUGAGAGGAUGAUCAGCCACACGGGAACUGAGACACGGUCCAGACUCCUACGGGAGGCAGCAGUGGGGAAUAUUGGACAAUGGGCGCAAGCCUGAUCCAGCCAUACCGCGUGGGUGAAGAAGGCCUUCGGGUUGUAAAGCCCUUUUGUUGGGAAAGAAAAGCAGCAGGUUAAUACCCCGCUGUUCUGACGGUACCCAAAGAAUAAGCACCGGCUAACUUCGUG
RNAcentral lists this ribosomal RNA (492 nucleotides) under uncultured bacterium. Its description in RNAcentral is "partial 16S ribosomal RNA". It matches the Rfam family "Bacterial small subunit ribosomal RNA", at positions 29 to 507 of the family's 1533-position model. The record is from RNAcentral.